RNAcentral lists this ribosomal RNA (253 nucleotides) under uncultured bacterium. Its description in RNAcentral is "partial 16S ribosomal RNA". It matches the Rfam family "Bacterial small subunit ribosomal RNA", at positions 524 to 776 of the family's 1533-position model. The record is from RNAcentral.
UACGGAGGGGGCUAGCGUUGUUCGGAAUUACUGGGCGUAAAGCGCACGUAGGCGGCUUUGUAAGUUAGAGGUGAAAGCCCAGGGCUUAACCCUGGAAUUGCCUUUAAGACUGCAUCGCUAGAAUCGUGGAGAGGUGAGUGGAAUUCCGAGUGUAGAGGUGAAAUUCGUAGAUAUUCGGAAGAACACCAGUGGCGAAGGCGACUCACUGGCUCAUUACUGACGCUCAGGCGCGAUAGCGUGGGGAUCAAACAGG